CUUAGGCACUAUAUAUAUAUAUUAUAUAUAUAUAUAUAUAUAUAUAUAUAUAUAUAUAUUUUAAAACUUCCUAGGUGAUCCCAAUGUGCAGCCAAGCUUGAGAACCAGUGCUCUGAUGGAUUUUCCCUUGGGAAGUGUACCCUGGUGGGAAGCAAGAAGAUAAAAAACUUGCCUUCCAGAUGCCUCUGCUGUCAGGAGCAGCCAUGUGACAUAAUUUUGGCCAUUAAGAAUGUAAGCUCUAUGUGGACAAGGGUUUUUUGUUUGUUUGCUUUUCUAUUUUGUUCUCUGCUGGUCAAAACUCAUUACAUUGUACACUCUAAACAUCUCUGGUCUAUUGUACGUUAAUUUAAAACCCAAUAAUGUACAAAAUUAAGGAGCGAUUGUUAAGAAAAUCCAAAGGCAAAUUACAAGUUGGAAGGAAACGUUUCUUGGCCCUGAAGGAAGUUGAGGCGAGGAUUCUAAGGCACUGAGACCCCGUGCUUAAAUUUCAGAUAAAUUGCAGAGCUAGCUGAAAUUUAUCCAGCUGACACUAGAUGUCACCAUUGUGCUAUGUAAGUGUAGCUGCUUCUCAGAGUGCUAUUUGAUAUUCAGGACAGAGUCAGGC
RNAcentral lists this long non-coding RNA (604 nucleotides) under Aotus nancymaae (Ma's night monkey). RNAcentral describes it as "lncRNA (ENSANAG00000039242.1)". Lineage: Eukaryota; Metazoa; Chordata; Mammalia; Primates; Aotidae. The record is from RNAcentral.